GAUGAAGAACGCAGCGAAAUGCGAUACGUAAUGUGAAUUGCAGAAUUCAGUGAAUCAUCGAGUCUUUGAACGCACAUUGCGCCCUCUGGUAUUCCGGAGGGCAUGCCUGUCCGAGCGUCAUUGCUGCCCUCAAGCACGGCUUGUGUGUUGGGCUCCGUCCCCCGAUCCCGGGGGACGGGCCCGAAAGGCAGCGGCGGCACCGCGUCCGGUCCUCGAGCGUAUGGGGCUUUGUCACCCGCUCUGUAGGCCCGGCCGGCGCUUGCCGAUCAACCAAAUUUUUAUCCAGGUUGACCUCGGAUCAGGUAGGGAUACCCGCUGAACUUAAGCAUAUCAUAAGCGGAGGA
Molecule: unclassified non-coding RNA, 344 nt
Filed under: soil metagenome
Description: partial contains 5.8S ribosomal RNA, internal transcribed spacer 2, and large subunit ribosomal RNA
Rfam family: 5.8S ribosomal RNA (bases 1-120)
Source: RNAcentral